GCCCGGCUAGCUCAAUCGGUAGAGCGUGAGACUCUUACCUUGUCAGUCUCCCGGCUCUGAAAGGACAUCUCAAGGUUGUGGGUUCGACCCCCACGUCGGGCU
Schizothecium vesticola is the source of this 102-nucleotide non-coding RNA. Lineage: Eukaryota; Fungi; Ascomycota; Sordariomycetes; Sordariales; Schizotheciaceae. The record is from the annotation of a GenBank genome assembly.